UCUCUGGUGGUUCAGUGGCUAAGACUCCACGCUCCCAAUGCGCGGGGCCCAGGUUCAAUCCCUGGUCAGGGAG
RNAcentral lists this transfer RNA (73 nucleotides) under Ovis aries (sheep). It matches the Rfam family "tRNA". Rfam says of the family: Transfer RNA (tRNA) molecules are approximately 80 nucleotides in length. Lineage: Eukaryota; Metazoa; Chordata; Mammalia; Artiodactyla; Bovidae. The record is from Rfam by way of RNAcentral.